GCCCCGCCGGGCACCGCGGCCUCCCGGCACCCCGGGGCUCCCGGGCUUUGGGCGCCUUCUCCCUGCGGGGAGGUCCAGGCAUCCAGGGAUUCCUGCCAACAGAUGCACUCUUCAUAACACACUGCUUACCAGUUUUGCAUGUCACUCUGUCCCUUCACCUGGUUCAAGGCUGUGAAAAACUAGAAGACUAGAGCUAACAGCUCCUGCUGGCUUACUAGGCAAAUCUGGCUCACACAAUUUUUUUACUAACUGUUUUCAAUGGCAGUCAUUCAGCCACGGAUUUUCCAGCAAUAACAAGACUUGCAGUUGUGCAGAUUCAUAGUUUCCUACUUUUCUCCUUAGAAUGAUGUGUCACUGUUAUUAUAUUACAAAAUCCAUUGCCAAACCCAAAUCUAUAUAUCAGAAAAAUGUUCAGUUCUACCAACAGUAUAAGAAACUAGUGCCUGUAAUGCAUUAAUCAAAUUUGAACAUAUUCCUCAUAAUUCUUCCUUCAACUGAAUCUCCUGUUCUCCAUAUAAUACCUUUAUUCUGCCUGUGCCUAUUGUUCUACAGAUUCAAAAUACUUAACUCUUCCUCUGCCUAAUGUAAAUCUAGAAUGGCAAGAACCAAGUAGCCACUUACAUACUCAAGUAAAAUUGUUAUUUAUGCCAAUAAAGGUCUUUCCUGAGCAAACAGAAAGGCAAAGUUCAAAACCUGGAUGGAAGGAAUUCAAAUCAGGAAACAGAAUAGUGGCAAAGCAGUGUUAAUGAAAUAGCCCCUGCCAUUUUCGGUACCAAUGCACAAUGAGUUUAAGCAGAUAUAUGGUUUGAGGAGUUUCCCACACAAAAUGUCACCUGCUAAACCUUGAACGAGUGUUACUUUCCUCUCCUUUGUUUCACCUUUUUAGCACUUGUAUGCCUAUGCAGUCAGUGAAAUUAAAUGCUUGAUAGAGCUGAGAUGAGUCAUCAUGCUGUCAGGGAGAAAAGAGCAGAAAUCAUGGCUCAGGAGGAGGAGUAUCAGCAAUUCAAAUUCAGGUUGUCUUAUGUUGGUCAUGAAACCAAGUCUUCCAACAACCUCAUCUACUGAGAUAAUACGUUCAGAAGAACUGCUGAGUAUCACGUCUUCUGACAUCAAGUCCCUUACUUUUCCACUCACCUUAGUUCUUUUUAACCUCAAACUGGAUUUUCGAGAAGCAUGAGUUUUGUGACUUAUUGCAAACUCUGCUUACAUCUGUUAUUAUUCAGUAAAUGAACAGCUGUUGAUUUCCGUUGAAAUCUGUUGUUUGUGGUCCUUGAUAUUCAGAAACUACUGGAUACUGUCUCUUAGAAAAUUGGUCCUUUUUAUGUGGGCACUCAUUUUAGGCACUCAUAAUCACCUGUAAUUUCAGAAAAAUGUUAGUAGAAUUUUUAAAGACAAUAUAGUCAGUGCUGAAUUUGGGAUUAAAAGUAAACCUUCCCAUUUUAAAAACAACAAAAUAAAAUGACAAUGUAGAUAUAGUAGACUUCAGCUAUUUUGAGGAUCUUAUUUCAUUGAUGUCCUACUGCUUUUAUAAAAAUGGCAUUAUACACUGUGAAGACAACCUGUUAAAUGGCUAACAGAGACAUCUCUCCAAGUAGUUGACAACAGAAAAUCAUCAGAUGGAGAAGUUCCCCAGGAACUGACAGUAGGCUGCUUCUGUUAACACCUCCUGUAAUCACACAGGAGCAAGCAGAAAUGUUGCUGAUAUAAUUUCCAGAUGACACAAAACCCAGUAAAAAUGGUCAUGUCAGUGAGCUCAGGAAAGCAUGGAGUGAUCUGGGUGACUUGUCCAUUUAAAGAAAAUCUUUCUUUACACAGCUACAUGUUAAGUCAUUGACUUCAGAAGAAAGAGUGCAAGAUGUUUUUACAGACUGGAAAGACUUUAUCUUGGAAAGCAGUGCUUCUAAAAGGGUUUGGGGAUCAAAACGGAGAAACAGCUCAACUUCAAUUUCCAGAAUAAUUCUGUAGAGAAAGGGGCUAAUGAGAUUCUUGCUUAUUUCAAGAGGGAGACCAAAAAUAGGAAUUGGGAGUCUUCCCUCUGUAAAGCACUCCUGAGACCAGUAAAAAAAAAAUUACAGAUUUGGUGUUCAUGUGUUCAAAAGGAUAUGGAUAAAUAGGAGAGGUGCAGAAAAGAGACACAGGAAUUAUUCAUAAGCUGCAGGAAAUGCCUUGAAGUGAAAAGACUGUGAGAGUUCACAGCCUUUAUCUAAACACUUUUUG
Molecule: long non-coding RNA, 2217 nt
Organism: Lepidothrix coronata (blue-crowned manakin)
Lineage: Eukaryota; Metazoa; Chordata; Aves; Passeriformes; Pipridae
Exons: 3
Source: RefSeq, a predicted model, not a curated record